CCCUUGUGCGCCGAUGAGUUCACUGGCUAUCUCUGUGCCGGCCUAGAUGAGCAGUAUGAUGCUCUUGUUUAGUUGGUCUCCUCCACGGCUCUUACAGAUCCUAUGCCUAUCUGUGAUGUCUAUGCGCAGCUUCUCAAUACCGAAC
Lolium rigidum is the source of this 145-nucleotide small nucleolar RNA. RefSeq annotates it as small nucleolar RNA Z247. The transcript has a single exon. The record is from RefSeq and is a predicted model, not a curated record. Lineage: Eukaryota; Viridiplantae; Streptophyta; Magnoliopsida; Poales; Poaceae.